GUGCACGCUGGCGGUAGGCCUAACCCCUGCAAGUCGAACGGCAGCACAGUAAGAGCUUGCUCUUACGGGUGGCGAGUGGCGGACGGGUGAGGAAUACAUCGGAAUCUACUUUUUCGUGGGGGAUAACGUAGGGAAACUUACGCUAAUACCGCAUACGACCUACGGGUGAAAGCAGGGGAUCUUCGGACCUUGCGCGAUUGAAUGAGCCGAUGUCGGAUUAGCUAGUUGGCGGGGUAAAGGCCCACCAAGGCGACGAUCCGUAGCUGGUCUGAGAGGAUGAUCAGCCACACUGGAACUGAGACACGGUCCAGACUCCUACGGGAGGCAGCAGUGGGGAAUAUUGGACAAUGGGCGCAAGCCUGAUCCAGCCAUACCGCGUGGGUGAAGAAGGCCUUCGGGUUGUAAAGCCCUUUUGUUGGGAAAGAAAAGCAGCAGGUUAAUACCCCGCUGUUCUGACGGUACCCAAAGAAUAAGCACCGGCUAACUUCGUG
This 491-nucleotide ribosomal RNA is filed under the name uncultured bacterium. RNAcentral's name for it is "partial 16S ribosomal RNA". It matches the Rfam family "Bacterial small subunit ribosomal RNA", at positions 29 to 507 of the family's 1533-position model. The record is from RNAcentral.